Manis javanica (Malayan pangolin) is the source of this 1010-nucleotide non-coding RNA. The record is from RefSeq and is a predicted model, not a curated record. NCBI's taxonomy places the organism in Eukaryota, Metazoa, Chordata, Mammalia, Pholidota, Manidae.
GAAAGAAAGAAACUCAUAAACAAACAGAGUUCAUAACUUCUUAUUUUCAGAGUUAUGGAGUGGCUGCCAGCAAGAGACAGUGUUCAGAUGUGGAUGAUACUUGUUCAAUAUGUCAAGCUCAAUUUCAAAAGCCAAUUCUUCUCAACUGUCAGCAUAUAUUUUGUGAAGAGUGCAUUACGUUAUGGUUCAACAGAGAGAAAACAUGUCCACUGUGCAGAACUGUGAUUUCAGACCAUAUAAACAAAUGGAAAGAUGGAGCCACUUCAUCGCACCUCCAAAUAUAUUAAGUUGUGUAAACUGUUAAGGCCAGAAACACUAAUUGGAUUUGGUUACAGUGAGUAUACUAUAAAGACGUCAGCAUCAGUCCUCACAGCUUGAAGGAAAAUGUUUCUGAAUGGUUUUAGAAUAUUAUAAUACUUCAGUGUGUAUCCUGAUUUAUCAAAAGAUUAACUGAAAGAACCCUGUGUUUUAAAAAAUAUGUAAGUAAUGUUCAACCUAAUGCAUAUAGAAAUCUAUUUGACAGGUGAUGGCAAUGUUAAAUUGUAAAUGUGUUUUCUUGUUAAUGUUACCAAAACAGCAAGUGGAUAACUAGAAUUAGUGAUUUUAAAGGAACUCAGGUAUUCUUCCCUGACAUUAUUUUCCAAAAUAAGAAUAUUUUUCAUAGUAUUUUCAGAUAUACAUUAUCUGAAUUUCCUUUAAAAUUGACUUUUGUAAUUCCCAUUCUAAAAAUUCGUAAAAGUUUCAUAAAAUUUGUAUUUUUAAAUGAAAGUUCUAAAUGCUAUAUUUUACCUAUGUCAUAUUUUUUAAAAGAAGAUCAAUUACUGAGGAUAUAUUUUAAUAUUAUAUUAUUCUUUGUUGUAUGUUUAGCAGUUGCUGAGAAUAGAUGACUUAAAUUCACUUUGUGGACAUCUCAUACAAUCCUGCUGUCAGCCAGCAUUCAUGAUCUUGCUUUUUUUAUAUAGUGCCAGGGACUAUCUUGAAUUAUUAAAAUAAUUUACAUGGAUUACAAA